Molecule: long non-coding RNA, 457 nt
Filed under: Phoenix dactylifera (date palm)
Lineage: Eukaryota; Viridiplantae; Streptophyta; Magnoliopsida; Arecales; Arecaceae
Description: long non-coding RNA (PDAC_LNC005238)
Source: RNAcentral
CUUAUAAGAGCCGGUAUAUGUAUUAAAAAGCGUCAAUUAUUAUUCUUUUUUUUUAUAGUGGACAGAAGUUUCAAAAUAUUAAAGAUGAUGUUUACUAACUGUUGGGCAGCAAGAGCUUUGAUAUCACCACCUAAUAAAACAUCAUAUAUCAUGUUUUAAAUCUUUGAUGCAAUCCCCUCCAAUGGAAUUACCAUCCGCCAAUCAUUAUGUGGCCUUUCUUCCUAAUAUUUUCUUUUCCAAGAGUGGCCGCUCCACCAUGCUGGAUCAAGCAGGUUACCUCCUAGCAAGGAACCCUCUCUUGGAGUGGUUCUUUACCAUAAUAAUGAAAACAAUAGCCAUUUUUUGUCCAGACCAGUAUUAACCUGAAUUUAUUUGGUAAGAAAAUAAUAGACGUUAUGACAGAUAUUAUCAUCCACUAUAAAUAAAAUAACGUGCAUUAAAUAAAAGCAACAACAUU